AGAAGAAGAACAAGAACAAGAACAAUAAGAACAACAACAACAACAAUAAUAAGAACAACAAUAACAACAACAAUAAUAACAAAAUAACAAGAAUAAGAAUAAAAACAAUAACAAUAAAAACAAGAACAAGAACAACAAAAAUAAAAACAAAAAUAAAAACAAAACAAAAUCAAUAGAAUCGUUAAACAUUGAUCAUCUACAACAACAACAUUAACAUCAACAAAAAAAAUCAAAAGAAUCGUUAAACAUUAAAUCUUAACAACAAAAACAAAAAC
This 275-nucleotide long non-coding RNA is filed under the name Lathyrus oleraceus (garden pea). RNAcentral describes it as "Pisum sativum (pea) long non-coding RNA (PSAT_LNC002732)". The record is from RNAcentral. Lineage: Eukaryota; Viridiplantae; Streptophyta; Magnoliopsida; Fabales; Fabaceae.